GUGAGGCUCGAGUGCAGACACUAUUCAAGUGUGGGCGGGGGGAGCGGGAGUGACAGAAGAGAGUGAGCACGGUUGCGCCUGUACGAGGAUAACGUACUUGCUCAAGUGUGCUCACUCUCUUCAUGUCGCGCCUCUCCCUCGUCGUUGUGACGUCAUUUGUGAUGAGAGGGUGGGGAGGGGGGUGUGUGAGGGAGGAGGAGGGGAGGUGAAGGGUGUGGUG
This 220-nucleotide microRNA precursor is filed under the name Physcomitrium patens. RNAcentral's name for it is "Physcomitrella patens miR156b stem-loop (ppt-MIR156b)". Its record names the gene ppt-MIR156b. The record is from miRBase by way of RNAcentral. Lineage: Eukaryota; Viridiplantae; Streptophyta; Bryopsida; Funariales; Funariaceae.